GACGAACGCUGGCGGCGUGCUUAACACAUGCAAGUCGAGCGAUGAAGCUCCUUCGGGAGUGGAUUAGCGGCGGACGGGUGAGUAACACGUGGGUAACCUGCCUCAUAGAGGGGAAUAGCCUUUCGAAAGGAAGAUUAAUACCGCAUAAGAUUGUAGUAUCGCAUGAUACAGCAAUUAAAGGAGUAAUCCGCUAUGAGAUGGACCCGCGUCGCAUUAGCUAGUUGGUGAGGUAACGGCUCACCAAGGCGACGAUGCGUAGCCGACCUGAGAGGGUGAUCGGCCACAUUGGGACUGAGACACGGCCCAGACUCCUACGGGAGCAG
Molecule: ribosomal RNA, 323 nt
Filed under: uncultured Bacillota bacterium
Lineage: Bacteria; Bacillati; Bacillota
Description: bacterial SSU rRNA
Rfam family: Bacterial small subunit ribosomal RNA
Source: RNAcentral